UACAGGAAGAGGGGGGAAAUAGAGAAACUGACUCUGCUGGAAGCUAAAUGAUCAGCAAAGACAAGUAAUGCUUUAAGACGUUCUGGUCCCAUCUGACAAUCAGAUAAAGGCAGUACCAAGAGAUAGAAAUCUUGAUAAAGGCACCACGGCAGUGUUAUUCUGUUGGUAAUAAAUGUUACCGAUUAAUUGGAGCCUUGAUCCUCAGUAGAAAAGGCAAACUACGUGGAUAUGAAGACAAAAUUUCUGCUGGAGUGAGGGCAAAAUGUACCCUGCUUGUCUUACUGCAUCCUCAUCUGCAUUUAGUGAGCCCUUUUCAGAUUCUGAUUGGUUGGAGUUCUAAUUAAAUGGUAGUGCCUGCCUCAAGCCAUGCAUCGAGGGCUAAAAAGACUUGGACUGGAGGAAUAGGUGGGGGGAGGGGAGAAGGGGGAUGCUCUUUGUACCAACCUGUGCAGGGAGAAGAAACAGAUUCUGGAAACUGGACACUACUGCUGCCUCGGGAAACCUGACAAAACAGAACAGAAGGAAAAUAGCAAAUGCAAGUGUUUCUGCUUUGAAAGCUCACAGACCUUUUUCCUGAACAUUGAGGUUGCAGUCUGCUCAGCUUCUUGUGCAAUCAACCGCUGCAGAGAGCAGGAGGUGGGAGAUUAAAUCUGAAAACCAUCCAGACUGUAAUGUCAUGAACCAGGAAGCAGUAAUGAUUUACCAACCUCUUUAUGCAAAAACACAGGGCGCCUGAGCUAGAAGGCUCACUUACAAGAGAAGGGGAGUGUUCUGUGUGUGACAAGUCUGCAUCAAUAUAUAGGUCUCCUUGACCCCUUUCCUUCUCUCCAAAUAGUUAUAGUUUUGGCCUGGUUGUACUGAAAUGCAUUAAAGGCCCUGAUUCCACAAAGCACUUAAGCAUAUGCAUAACUUCAAGCACACUGUGGGCCUAUUCACAUGCCUAAGUGCUUUACUGGAUUGCAGCCAGAGCGUCCUGCAUUAAGGGCCUGAUCCUGCACCAGUAACGUGUUUUCAUUUAUUUAAAUGGGAGUGGGAUCAAGCCCUAUUUAAAUGGCUCUUUGCUCAUACUCACUUUCGAACUUUCUUUCAAGACAAAAGGAAAUACACUUCUGAGUUUUUCUUUGGUUUUUUUUAACAUUAACAAAGUUGCAUUACCCAUUAUAAAAAUCCCAACGUUUCAAACACCUUCUAGAGGUUUUUUUAGUACAGGUUAAGAGAUAAGAAUCGACAUGUCCAUUGUUACCAGCCUUAACAAACUGAAAAGAAAUAUGUUAAAGGAGAAAAUUAUCCCCUUGAGACAACAAAGGUAGGGGAUGCAUGCACAUUAAAACAGGGCACCAGAAACUACCCUGUAUCAGGCAACACUGAACUUCAGCUGCCAGCCUGUUGCUCAUUCACCAAGCUUGGCUAGGUCCCUGUGAAAUUCCUCACUGUAACCUCCAGUGUUCAAUAACCUAACUAAUUUUAUGUCAGUUACAAAUUUGGCUACCACACUGGUCACCCCUUGUCUAGAUCAUCGAUAAACAUCAGUCCUGGUACAGAACAUUGGACACUCAAUGUUAACCUUUGGUCAUGUUGAAAAUUGACCGUUUUUCCCUGUUCAUGUCUACUGGCCAGUUUCUAACCCCUGACAGCACUUUGCCUUUCACCCCAGGGUGACUAAUCUCUCGUGAGGCACUUUGUGAAAGGAUUAUAUGAACAUCAUGAUCUCCUGCAGGCACAGUUUUGCUAACACGUUCAGAAUUACAACAGAUUGCAGAGCUGUGAUAUUCCUUCACAGAAGCCAGGCUGGUGUGUCUGUGUCGUGUUUUGUAAUUUCAGAUUUAAUUAUCAUUUAAUUUUCACUUGAUAAUGAAGUAAGGCGCACUGCUCUGCUAAUUGCCAGGAUCACCCCUCAUGCCUUUUUUAAAGAGUGGUAACAAAUUUGCUCCCCUCCAGCUCUCUGGUACAGUGGCUGAUUCUAAUGAGAGGCUACAGAUUCUUGCUGACAGGGCAGCUUCUUCAUUCUUAAGUUUCCAUAUCAAGAAAGAAAAUUAAACUCUUGAGUUUUGCCCCCCUGGGAAAAUUCAUUUCAUGGAGAAAAUUCCCUCUGCACAGGACAAUAGCUGCUGCAGUGGCAGAACAAUACGCUGGGGAUCAGAGCUCAUUCCUUGGCAUGGAUCCAGCACACCUGGCGAGAGCUGAGCUCGGCCUUUCGCUCUUAGGCCACCACUGCCUGAGAGUUCUGUGGAACCACUGCUUUUGAGACCUGAUCCAAAGUCCAUUGAAGUCAAUGGAAAGACUCGCAUUGAUUUCAACUGGUUUUGGAGCUAGCUUCUAGCCCUUGGGGAUCCAAGCUAAGACCCUCCUUCCUAGGCCAGCAGGGGUUAGGAGCAGUAUGAUGCCAGCACAUUCAGCCCUGGGAGGAUUUGGUUGUGCACCCUCCCCAGGGGCCAGCAGAAGCUGGAAGCUGUGCAGAGCUGGUGCCUUUAUCCCCUGACUGAUGACUGAAGGAGCCACUGAACAAUGGAAGGCCUCUGAGGGGGUUAUUUGCGGGGAGGAAUGACGUUCUUUUGGGCUCUGAGAGCUUCCUCUUGGAGGGGAGAACACGUUGGGAGCCUUAGUACAACACAGAGCUUUACAUGGGAGGGUCCUCAAAGCAGGCAACAGGGGUUUUGUUUGAGUCAGAUAGAACAUACAUUUUCCCCUGCCGCUGCUGCACAGAGAUUUGGAGCAGGCCUAUCUGUCAAGCCUUGUCUACAUAGAGGAAACUGACCAGCAGCAUUAUUCCAGUAUAAUUGAGCUAUUCCAGAAUAACUCUCUUGUGGGGACAGGGGAACUGUCUUCUGGAAUAAAAGUGAGCAGAGUAACUAGUCCGGAACAAAGUAAUUUUUAUUCCAGAAUAGACCGUCCACUUGGGGGAGUUAUUCUGGAAUAGCUAAAUUGAUCAAUUUCCCCUUGAAGACAAGCUCUCAGUUUUGCCUGCAUCAGCAGCGUCUGCUCCCAUGGCUCUGAGUUCAUUAAAUCGAUGGAAGAGAGAUUAAGAGAAAUAGUUUCUUAUUCUUAAAUUACAACAUGGAAGAAGCUAGUAUUUUGUCCUUACAGUGGCAUCAGUUGCUGCUUGUCGUGCUCUCCUCUGCUGUAAUAACUCUUUCACAGUGAUCUUUACUCGAACACCUUGAUACACCUUGGAUUUUCCUGAAAGAGUGAGUUAAAAAUAAGAUUGCAUGGAUGAGAACAGGAAAGCAGGCACUUUAGAGUGGUGAUAUUUAAAAUAUUAAAAAGUAAAUUCAGUGUGUUCUCAGUCACACUUUAUAUAAAGGGUAUAUUUACAAAGAGUUUGUAAAGAGUUUAUGAAUAGAUGUUUAAUAAAUGAUUAGUCAGUUAUUACAGAAUGCCAUAGGUCCCUUGUAACCAUGACUUAUACCCAUUUCAUGAUUGUAAUAUGCUUGUAACAUUUACUAACACUUUGUAGACUAUUUGCAAAUGUACCCUUAAUAUAUAAUAAAUAUAAUUGUGACCAA
Molecule: long non-coding RNA, 3503 nt
Organism: Chrysemys picta bellii (western painted turtle)
Lineage: Eukaryota; Metazoa; Chordata; Testudines; Emydidae
Source: RefSeq, a predicted model, not a curated record